CCUACGGGUGGCAGCAGUGAGGAAUAUUGGUCAAUGGGCGCGAGCCUGAACCAGCCAAGUAGCGUGAAGGAUGACUGCCCUACGGGUUGUAAACUUCUUUUAUAAAGGAAUAAAGUGAGGCACGUGUGCCUUUUUGUAUGUACUUUAUGAAUAAGGAUCGGCUAACUCCGUGCCAGCAGCCGCGGUAAUACGGAGGAUCCGAGCGUUAUCCGGAUUUACUGGGUUUAAAGGGAGCGUAGAUGGGAUGUUAAGUCAGGUGUGAAAGUUUCCCGCUCAACGGUGAAAUUGCAAUUGAUACUGGCAAACUGGAGUGUGUGAGAGGAUAGUGGAAUUCCAGGGGUAGGAGUGAAAUCCGUAGAUAUCUGGAGGAACAUCAGUGGCGAAGGCGACUAUCUGGCACAUAACUGACGUUGAGGAGCGAAAGCGUGGGUAGCAAACAGGAUUAGAUACCCGAGUAGUC
Molecule: ribosomal RNA, 460 nt
Filed under: uncultured bacterium
Lineage: Bacteria
Description: partial 16S ribosomal RNA
Rfam family: Bacterial small subunit ribosomal RNA
Source: RNAcentral